GAGAUCUAUUAUUACUUUUAAGGGAUACGUAAAUUGAAAUAGUAAGUUGUACAUUUACAUUGAUUGCAUUAAAUUGAUAGAACUAAUUUGGUGAACUUCUAAUCUAUCUAUCUAUUAUCUAUCUAUCUAUUAUUAUAAAGCUUUGUUUACUUCCCUCACAGCGCGUGACGUCAGCAUUCAACUAGGAAAAUCGGCAUCCGUCAUCUCGACACGUGUCCUUAGUGUGCUAAACGUGCCGUUUCAUUUAUUCGCUACGUUUGUGGGCUUUGUCGCGUGUUGUGUGUUUGGGCCGUGAAGUGUGAAGAAAUGUGUCGUCUCUAAUCCUGAUUUGCAGAGAAGAAACGAGAUCCUCUUCCGUCUUCGUGCGACGGUGACUCUAUGUCGUUUCCGCUUUCUCUUACCUUUUGAAACGGUUUGAGUAAAGAGCCCGUGUUUAAUCUCAUUGAUUCACCCAUCCACUACGUCAUCAUCAAUUCCCUUUUUCGAUCUCAAAGUCGGUGAUUUCAGUAUAAAUAAGUGGUUUUCUUCUCCGAUCUGAAGUCCGGCAACUGCUCCUCCGUCGUCAAGGCUAGGCUUCUGCGGUUUUGGGUCGAUAUGCUUCGUAUCUCUUUUGUUUCGUCAUGAAAAGCGUUUCAAGGAGUGUCCUCAUCCAGAUGAUAAGCAGAGGAACCAACUUAGCAGAGAAUAGGGUUUGGCUCCAAGGCAAAUCAAGUUCUGGUUCCAGAACAGAAGAAAGGCGCAACAUGAGAGACCAGAUAACAAUGCACUAAAGGCAGAGAACGACAAGAGUCGAUGUGAGAACAUAGCCAUUAAAGAAGCACUCAAGCAUGCUAUAUUCAAAGCACACAAGCAAGCAAGGACCCAAAUCACUCAAGAGAAAGGAAGGAGCGUUAAGCAGAUCAGAGCAGUGAACAUUUUGUUGGAAUUAAUUCUCUUUUUAAGUUUUAUUUUAUGGAGAAUUAUUUAUUUUUAAUUUUAAUGGUUUAGGAUAAUUACAAAGAAUAGAAGAAUCUGAAUGAUUUUAUGAUUUAUAUGUCCUAAUCCCUAAUCUUACGUGUAGGUUCAGACUACGCCUUACGUUGGCGAGGCGGUAUGAAGCGACUCUAUAGCUUAGAGGCGAGCUUGACCUUCCCAUCGCCUCAAUGGUUGAAGCGCUUUUUUGAACCCAGAGCCCAAGAGAAAAUGUUAAAGACGGUUGGAUCCAGAUCGAUAGCUGCUAGGGGGAAGAAAGGUUCAGAAAUAACACAAACUCAAGAUGGGAAGGUCAAGCCCGCCUUGACAGAAACUCUUGCCUAAAAAUUGGCAAGAGUAUUGGAGACUUAUGGAUAUAUAUCCAGGUUGAAGUAGAGAUGGUCUAGAGACAUAAUUUACAUGCAUCAUUGUAUCAUUGUGAUGUUACCAAAGCUGUUGGUGUCCUCAAGUAUACAGCUUUUCUAUUUAUUCAAAAUGUGUAUUGCUGCUUUAAAGGAAUGUAAAUUUAAAUGAUAAUUAAUUUUAUAUUUUCAGAUGCACACUAAAAUUUAGGUUGUCUUUAUAUCA
Long non-coding RNA from Brassica napus (rape), 1539 nucleotides. RefSeq lists it as uncharacterized. NCBI's taxonomy places the organism in Eukaryota, Viridiplantae, Streptophyta, Magnoliopsida, Brassicales, Brassicaceae. The record is from RefSeq and is a predicted model, not a curated record. The transcript has 5 exons.